Molecule: ribosomal RNA, 253 nt
Filed under: uncultured bacterium
Lineage: Bacteria
Description: partial 16S ribosomal RNA
Rfam family: Bacterial small subunit ribosomal RNA
Source: RNAcentral
UACGUAGGGUGCAAGCGUUGUCCGGAAUUAUUGGGCGUAAAGAGCUCGUAGGCGGUUUGUCGCGUCGAAUGUGAAAACCCGGGGCUCAACUCCGGGCCUGCAUUCGAUACGGGCAGACUAGAGUUCGGUAGGGGAGACUGGAAUUCCUGGUGUAGCGGUGAAAUGCGCAGAUAUCAGGAGGAACACCGGUGGCGAAGGCGGCGACCUGGGUAGAUACUGACGCUGAGGUGCGAAAGCGUGGGGAGCAAACAGG